AUAUAUAUAUAUAUAUAGAACAAGAAUUUCAUUUGGUUAAUUAUUAAUAAUGUGAACAUAUCAAAUGGGAAGAAAGGGCUAUAUCAUCAAUGGAUUACAAAUUACAGUAAAUAGGCAUAUGAUUCCACCUGGAUACAAAUAUAAACUAUACUUGAUGGAGAGAACAUAUGAAAUGGAAAAGCAAAAGUGACCUUUGUUUUGCAAGUAGAAGUGGUCCUGGGUUUUCAGCAAGCAGCAGAUCUUAGAAUAACUGGAAAAACAAACUCGUUGAACCAUCACUGUAUGACCUGAUAUCUGCAGGUUUGACCAAUGCCCUGCACAAUGGACAUGUCCUUUCUCGCUCAAACCAUUCUGAUACACAUUCCUCACAGAAUAUGUGUUUACAACGCAGCAAAAUUGGCGCAUGCAUCUUCUCCUGGCAAAUAGCACAGAGAUCUCCAGCAGCAUUGACCUGUUCGGAUGUGGCGUAAGAAACAUGGUUCAUUUCUUUACAUGAUAGAGCCCUCAAUGCAGUAAAGAACAAUUGAACCUUUCCCAAGGCCGAUGUAAGCUUGAAAGUUAAGUACAAUCCUGUAAUUAAUGAAGAAAAAAAGCUUCCAUACUCUUUGUUUAAGAAGAACCUAUACCAGACAGGUGCUGGCAACAAGGAACGGUACAAUAACAAAAAAUACUCGACCAAGGUUAGCAUUUGACCCUGCUUACGGUAAUUGUGCCCUCUACUAUUCUUGUAAUGCAUCAAAAGUACACAUUUGAAGGCCAUUGCAACCUGCCGCACCAUAGCAUCAUUUACCACGAUGAUAAAUAAAGCAUGCCAGAAAGGAGGUAUUGUGCUCGGAGGAAGUAAGACCAAUGGAUAUAGAAGAUCAUCAUUUCUAUACCACCAAUAAAUUGACAUCACAUGAAGCAUGAACCCUAAAGUAAUAGUUACAAUAAUAGAAUUCUUUCUGUCCCCCUUUAGAGCUGUCUGCUUCUUUAGAAUAUCAUUUGAUUUGAACAAAACUGCAGCAAUCCACAUUGCCACACAAAACCCUUGUAAAUGUUGGCGAAUGAAAACAAGUAGAAGCAGCAAAGAGAAUGGAAGAAUUUGCUCAAUCCACCUAGCGAAGUUCUGAAUAUCAUAUCUCUGAUAAGAAGGAGGCGGAGAAGGAGCAUGAGAAGAGGAAGAGGGGCCUGUGGCGAUCGCGGAAGCCCCAUCUGCGCCUGGGGUUUGGGAAGCAACAGCUCCACCAGGUUGAUCAUCUGAUGACGCAGGCAUCGCCUCAACAGUAGAGGCAACAUUAGAAUCUGCAGCACCAACUAUCCUAAUAGUAACCUCCUGGUGGUGAGCACCAGUGCUAGACUGUGUGGCAGCAGAAGAAGGAGGAGGAAGAAUCAAUUGCUCCCUUUCUUGAACAGCGGAGGAGGCGUUUCCUCCUCCUCUUAGAAUACCCGAGUAUUCCAAAAGGGUCGUCAAUGGAGCAUGUAUCAAAUUCGAUGCUGAUAUAUUGAUCCCAUAUCUUCUUGAGUUGCUAUUUCUACUGCCGCCGCCGUCGCUACUUCCCGAACUCGAAGAAGAGGAAGAAGAAGAGUCCCUGUAGAUAUCUUCAGAAUUGGCAGAAGAACAAGUCUCCAUUUCUGGGUGAGUUUCGUUUGUGCCAAUCAAAGUUAAUGGUAUAAAAAUAUUGGGAUUUGUUAGGCUAAACACAGGCUGGCUAGUACAGUUGUUGUUGUUGUUGUUGCCGCGGCAUUUCCUUCGAUGUCUCUUUCACAGCCUCUUUUGUAAGUUAAUUGGUUUUCUAUUGUGUCUCUGUAGAAAUGGGGCAUCUGAAACUGACAUUUUCUUUUUAUUUCUUUAUCCAUCCUCAAAGGAAAGGAAAGGAUAGAAAUACAAAUAGAAGAGGGUUUCGUCAUCAAAGAAGGAGAUAGAUAACCUUCUUAGGUACAGACGCUUCAACCAACUGUUCUGUUACACACAGGGAACACA
This 1963-nucleotide unclassified non-coding RNA is filed under the name Hevea brasiliensis (rubber tree). The record is from RNAcentral. Lineage: Eukaryota; Viridiplantae; Streptophyta; Magnoliopsida; Malpighiales; Euphorbiaceae.